RNAcentral lists this long non-coding RNA (493 nucleotides) under Zea mays. Its description in RNAcentral is "drought-responsive long non-coding RNA". The record is from RNAcentral. Lineage: Eukaryota; Viridiplantae; Streptophyta; Magnoliopsida; Poales; Poaceae.
AUUAUUAAAAUGCAUCGCAGGUAGUAUGUAGUGGGUGCAUAUGUCGAAUAGGUUUAAAUUGGCUCUUUGCUGAGAAGUGAGGAGAAUUAAUAGCGUGAAGAAUUGAUUUAUUAAUCCAAACGAUUAUCCGAUAAGGCUGUCAUCGUUGAUUUGGUACGUGAAUUAACCACGUGAUGCGGAGAACCAGAAUUGAGUUGACCACAAGAUGGUGCUGAUGAACGGAAUUGAAGAUGGACAGACGAAACAAGUAUCAGAACAAAGGAUGGUCGUCAAGUGAUCGACGUCUAACAAACACUAACGUACUGUUUAUCCCAGGCAAGCCCCGGUGCAUGCAACCCCUUCCUUGUGUUUUUAAAUAAUUUUUACAUACUUUAAGUCUAGCGAAAAUGUGCAUUAGGUUUAUAGGAGUUGCUUGGAAACCCUUUGAUGCAUUGCCUACCUUGAUAUCCAUACCUUUAUAGAUACUUCUGAUGAAGUAUCAAAAUAUGAUUUA